GACGAACGCUGGCGGCGUGCUUCAUACAUGCCAGUCGAACGAAAAGCUGACUUCGUUCAUUGGAAAGUGUCGGCCGGGUGCGGGAUAUUUAGGCAAUCUGCCUUUACGAAUGGGACAACAGAGAGAAACUUCUGCUAAUACCCCAUAUGAACGUAGCUUAAAUGCUCUUCUUUAAAACUCCGGUGCCUAAAGUUGAGACUGCAACUGAUUAGCUAGUUGGUCGUGUACUGGACUACCAAGGCGACGAUCAGUAGCUGGUGUGAGAGGAUGAUCAGCAACAAUGGGACGGAGACACGGCUCAGAAUCCUACCGGAGGGAGCGGUAGGGAAUUUUGCGAAAUGGGCGAGAGCCAGGAGGAGCAACGGCGCGUAAAACAUUGAGACCUUCGAGGUGUAAAGUUGUGUGAGUGGGGACGAAACUUGACGGUACCCACAGAGGAAGCCACGGCUAACUCCGUG
RNAcentral lists this ribosomal RNA (458 nucleotides) under uncultured bacterium. RNAcentral's name for it is "partial 16S ribosomal RNA". It matches the Rfam family "Bacterial small subunit ribosomal RNA", at positions 28 to 507 of the family's 1533-position model. The record is from RNAcentral.